CUUGGCGGCCAUAGCGAGUUGGUACCACCCCUUCCCUUCCCGAACAGGACCGUGAAACGACUCAGCGCCGAUGAUAGUGCAGAUCCCUGUGUGAAAGUAGGUCUCCGCCAAGC
This 113-nucleotide ribosomal RNA is filed under the name Aquaspirillum serpens. Lineage: Bacteria; Pseudomonadati; Pseudomonadota; Betaproteobacteria; Neisseriales; Aquaspirillaceae. RNAcentral also lists the same sequence under 1 other name. The record is from RNAcentral.